AUGCAUGUCUAAGUACACACUUCCGAACAGUGAAACCGCGAAUGGCUCAUUAAAUCAGUUACGGUUCCUUAGAUUGUUGACCAGUAUACGGAUAACUUUUGGGAAUUCUAGAGCUAAUACGUGCCACGAAGCUUCGACUCACGGAGAAGCGCACUUAUUAGACCAAAACCAAUCAGCUUAGGCUGUGGUGUGGUGACUCUGGAUAACCUUGUGCUGAUCGCAUUGGCCUCGAGCCGGCGACAAAUCUUUAAAUGUCUGACCUAUCAACUUUCGAUGGUAGGUGAUGUGCCUACCAUGGUUGUUACGGGUAACGGGGAAUCAGGGUUCGAUUCCGGAGAAGGAGCCUGAGAAACGGCUGCUACUCCUACGGGAGGCAGCAGGCGCGCAAAUUACCCACUCCCGGCACGGGGAGGUAGUGACGAAAAAUAACGACGCCGGGUUCAUAUGAACUUCGGUGAUCGGAAUGAGACCACUCCAAAUCCGUUAACGAGGAUCUAAUAGAGGGCAAGUCUGGUGCCAGCAGCCGCGGUAAUUCCAGCUCUAUUAGCGUAUAUUAAAGUUGUUGCAGUUAAAAAGCUCGUAGUUGGAUCUCGGGCCCAGCCUGCCGGUCGCCCUCAUAGGGCGUUCUCGGAAAGGCGAACCUACCGCCGGUUCGGCCGCGUUACUCUUCACCGGGUGGCGCGGACGACCGGCACGUUUACUUUGAGAAAACUAAAGUGCUUAAAGCAUGCCGCCUAGGCAAGAAUAUUCGUGCAUGGAAUAAUGGAAAAGGACUUCGAGUCCAUUUUGUUGGUUUUUGGAUUCGAGGUAAUGAUUAAGAGGGACAGACGGGGGCAUUCGUAUUGCGCCGCGAGAGGUGAAAUUCUUGGACCGGCGCAAGACGUACGACUGCGAAAGCAUUUGCCAAGAAUGUUUUCAUUAAUCAAGAACGAAAGUCAGAGGUUCGAAGGCGAUCAGAUACCGCCCUAGUUCUGACCAUAAACGAUGCCAACUGGCGAUCUGCCGUUGUAUCUUAUAUCUCGGCAGGCAGCCACCGGGAAACCUCAAGUUUUUGGGUUCCGGGGAGAGUAUGGUUGCAAAACUGAAACUUAAAGGAAUUGACGGAAGGGCACCACCAGGAGUGGAGUCUGCGGCUCAAUUUGACUCAACACGCGGAAGCUUACCCAGUCAGGACACUCUAAGGAUUGACAGACCGAUAGCUCUUUCUCGAUUUGGUGAAUGGUGGUGCAUGGCCGUUCUUAGUUGGUGGAGUGAUUUGUCUGGUUAAUUCCGAUAACGAACGAGACUCGAUCCUGCUAAAUAGUUCGUUGAUUAUACUCUGUCAACGCCCAACUUCUUAGAGGGACAAGUGACUCUAAUUUAACAAGUCUACCACGAAACUGAGCAAUAACAGGUCUGUGAUGCCCUUAGAUGUCCGGGGCCGCACGCGCGCUACAAUGAAGUAGUCAACGUGCAUUUCAAAGCUGACCCGAAGGGGCCGGCGAAUCCGUUGAAUCUUCUUCAUACUUGGGACUGGGCUUUGUAAUUAUCGCCCACGAACGAGGAACUCCUAGUAUGUGCGGGUCAUCAGCUCGCGCAGAUUACGUCCCUGCCCUUUGUACACACCGCCCGUCGCUACUACCGAUUGAAUGCCUCAGUGAGAUAAUCGGAUUUGCUCCUAGUGGAGGUUAACGCCUCCGUUUGGAGCGAAGAAGAAUAUCAAACUUGGGCAUUUA
RNAcentral lists this ribosomal RNA (1715 nucleotides) under Xenotrichula cf. intermedia TK-2012. RNAcentral describes it as "SSU rRNA". It matches the Rfam family "Eukaryotic small subunit ribosomal RNA". The record is from RNAcentral. Lineage: Eukaryota; Metazoa; Gastrotricha; Chaetonotida; Xenotrichulidae.